CACGUUCCCAAAGGCAGCACUUGUGUACUGACCUUGCACGAGUGCACCGAGCAUCGCUGUGCAGAUGCUGUGACCUACGGGAAGGUCCACGUUGCACUUCCCACCAGGAGCCCCGCACUGAGUGCACGACGGGAGGACAUGAGCUUCUCACAGCUGUGAAACGAGAAGCUGGGGGGGGGGAACAUAACAAACUGCUUUUCCUUGGGAUGAGAAUGGGAGACCUAAUCCAGAAUGAAAUGUGCAAUCGUUUUUCCUGAGUGUAAAAGACUUGUUAUGAUUUUUUAUGAUGACUUCAGAAAUUCAGGUGUGCUACACCCGAUAGUAAUUAAAAAUCCAUGACAUGCCAAGGAAGAAAACAAACAUCUUUCCAUCAAACACACCUCUAAAUAACUCCUCCCAAUACCCUCACCCUGUUGGGAAGGAGCCUGUACCUUUUCUGGUUUCUUCCCAGAUAAGCUGAGCAACUGCAGGUGUAGCCACUGGUGUGCGGGCAGUGGGAAGCACGCUCUGGGCUGAUGGCAAAGGCUGCCUCUGCAAUGUGGGUGACUUCACUUGAGAAUGGAUCGCAUCCUCCUGCUUAACUGGGUCCCCUCUGGCAUCAUGGCACCAACGUCCAGUGUCCUGGGACAGCAGUUAUGUGAUAUGAACAGCCACACUGAGGAGCUCUAUGUGGUGAAAAUGAAGCAUUCACCGAUCACUGACUUCACCGUGGUGGAAUUGCUCUUGUGCUUGAAAUGGAGCUUUCCUUUGCGACCUUGUUG
Molecule: long non-coding RNA, 761 nt
Filed under: Gallus gallus (chicken)
Lineage: Eukaryota; Metazoa; Chordata; Aves; Galliformes; Phasianidae
Description: lncRNA (ENSGALG00010026542.1)
Source: RNAcentral